CUCUUUGCACAACGAAGCAUUAGCAGAACCAAAAAUAAUAUCAUCAACAUGAAUUUGCACAACCGGAAUAUCAUUCUUAAAGGUUUUGCAAAAGAGAGUUGUCUCCAUUUUUCCUCUGGUAAAAUCAUUUUCCAAAAGGAAGUUUUUUAGUCUUUCAUACUGUAACACCCCAAAAUUUUCCCUCCUCAUUCAUGCAUUCAUUUAGCAUUUCAUAUUGCAUUUCAUCAUGUCAAUCAGAAUUAGAUCCAAAAAAAAAAAACGAAAAAAAAUAAAUUAAUUAAUUAAUUAAUUAUUUAAUUAAUUAAAUAAAUAAUUAAAUAAAUAAAAUAUAAUAAAAAAUUUUGGACUUGGGUCUCUCUCAUUUGAGCCCACAAAACCAUGAAAUUCAGUCUAUAAAUACCA
RNAcentral lists this long non-coding RNA (402 nucleotides) under Lathyrus oleraceus (garden pea). RNAcentral's name for it is "Pisum sativum (pea) long non-coding RNA (PSAT_LNC040283)". Lineage: Eukaryota; Viridiplantae; Streptophyta; Magnoliopsida; Fabales; Fabaceae. The record is from RNAcentral.